AAAUUUGUGAAAUUCACAAAAGGCUCUACUUCGGCACUCAUACUCUGGUAGUUCAAGGAGCAUUAGGAGAUCAUCAAGGGAGAUUUGACGAAGAGCUUUUUCCCACUCCCAACUUUCUGCCAUUCCCAGCUUAUGAUCAGGGGCUCCUAUGAAACCCUGUGUCAAGAGGGCAACUGGAAGCACUAAGGCCGUCCAGGUUAUCACCACACUUACAAGGAAGAAUGAGAAGCUCUCCCAUAUGUCUACAACUUGUGUCUCCCUGCCUGUAAAGGGUGAAAGGGUUCCAAUACUACUAAUAUAUAUAAUAAAUGAAAUGUUCUUAAUAAUCUUGGCAAUCUGAAGACUACCUGAUUUUUCAACUUUAUAUCAGCAGAUGGUAACUGAUCAAACAAA
Molecule: non-coding RNA, 393 nt
Organism: Penaeus vannamei (Pacific white shrimp)
Lineage: Eukaryota; Metazoa; Arthropoda; Malacostraca; Decapoda; Penaeidae
Source: RefSeq, a predicted model, not a curated record